Long non-coding RNA from Gymnodraco acuticeps, 789 nucleotides. RefSeq lists it as uncharacterized. The record is from RefSeq and is a predicted model, not a curated record. The transcript has 2 exons. Lineage: Eukaryota; Metazoa; Chordata; Actinopteri; Perciformes; Bathydraconidae.
GUGAGCGAGCGUAGUGUGUGUCCGGAAGAGAGCGGGAGUAGCAGCAGUGAUCAGUCUGUCUCCAGUUAGCUGUAUAACAAAGUCCUGAGGAAACACAGCGACCUCCCAAGGAACAGCCUGCCUGUCUGCCUCAUUUCAGAGUGGGUUAUUGAAGCCGAAGCCUGGUGCUUCAGUCCGGGAAGACUGCAGAGAGUCCUCCCCUGUAUUCCUCCACUACGGUCUGGGAGCAGCAUCUAUCUCCACUGUUGCUGUAACCAUGUUAAUGUCCCUCUGUGGGAUCAAUAAAGGACUUCUGAUUCUGCGGACAGACAGAAGAGAGGGGGGAGGGGCGGGUUGGAAUGCGGCCUUCUUCUUUUCCCGGAUUUGAAGAGUCCUCUUCCUCGCAGCCCACCUUAUCCCAGGAUGCAAUGCGCGCCGGUGACGAGGAAACAAAGAAAAUGUCGGUCCGGUCUCAGAGAGAAAGGCAGCACGUGAGGAGUAACUGAUAAAUGACAAUUCUGGAGAACUGGAUCUGCUGAGGAAGGAGCUGCCAUCCACACAGGACCCCCCGUGGUGCUGGAGGAAUCUAAACAGCAUCAGGGACAUCAUCCUCCCAAACCUCUGCUUCCUGCCGUCCAGCUGAACAGCAGCUCAGGAAGCUUCAGAGAAACAGUGUGUUCAACAGAGACUGAAGCUUCAGAGAGAAACAGUGUGUUCAACAGAGACUGAAGCUUCAGAGAAACAGUGUGUUCAACAGAGACUGAAGCUUCAGAGAAACAGUGUGUUCAACAGAGACUGAAGCUUCAGAGA